CAAUUUUUCUCCUCAUAGUGUAGCCUCUUCCAUUCUCCUUCAAAGUAUAACGUUCACUAUUUCAACUCAAAACAAGGAACCAGCAUUGUGAUCGUUAUCAUAAUGACUCUAUACUUGACACACAUGGACAUGGACAGAUGCAGAGGAAGACCCUGCAUAUUGAUAUGGGGUGAGCAGCAACAAAAAUUUGGUUCUGAACAUUCACCUCAUGAAAAG
Molecule: unclassified non-coding RNA, 216 nt
Filed under: Hevea brasiliensis (rubber tree)
Lineage: Eukaryota; Viridiplantae; Streptophyta; Magnoliopsida; Malpighiales; Euphorbiaceae
Source: RNAcentral